GUUUGCCACGUCUGAGGCUCUCCCUGGCUGCUCUCGGCCAGCACUGCUGCAGCCGUGAGGUCUCGGCUGCUGGCUGAAGCCCCAGAUCAGCUGGGCAGAGCAGGGGUAUGCUGUGGGGACAGAGGAGGUUGUGGGGACCUGUGCCAUCUCGGUGUUUCUGAGGAGACGAAAUGAUUUUGCUCUUUAUCAGUCCCACCCGUUGCUCAGACACCGCACCUGCACAGUUUCUGCCAGCUCUUACAGCUCCGAGUAUCUAGCCGUGAGUGUAUUUUUAGGGAAGCCUUCAUUUUAUCUAUUUCUCUUCCUGCACAGGUUAGCCGUCCUUGCACAAAGGGCGAUGAGGAUUACAGAGGUGAGUGGCGCAUCCUGACUCUGUCCCCAUACGGGGGGCUUGAUGAGUUAGGAGCAUCAGCACAGGUUCACCUGGCCUCAUCGCUAUGCCUGUGUGGGGAGAGCUUAAGAAGAUGCAUGAACUGGGAGAGAAGGCUUUAAAAAAAAAGGAGUAAGGUGAAGGUUAAAGGCUCAAAGAUUGAGCACAACAUUCAGGCACAUAAAAGCCCUGUUACUGCCACGAUGCAGGUCUAUUAAUAAAAGCUUCAGCUCUGGCUUGAUGGAAAACCUGCCCUCUCAAUAAUUACUGUUGCAAGAGAUGUUUUUGAUAGUGGCAGUUUGCAACUUGAGGUAAAUAUCCUUUUUCAUACCACGCACCUGUCCGCGGUUGUCUCUCACAUCAGUAGAGCUUUUUUUUUUUCCUGCCGUGACACUAUUUUAGUUUGAUAAAAUGCCACCAGUUCCUUUUCUUAGCUGUCCUUUCUACGAAUGUCUCCAGAAAACAAAAUGAGUUUGCAACAACUCUCAGCAGUGCCGUGCUCUGUAAGAAGUCCGAUGGCUGACAAACACUUCAUGAUAAGGUUCAAUGGGUGUUAAAGAAAAGGUAAAAUGUGCGCUGAUGACUGGGACUGAGCCCUCUGGCCACAGCCUGGCCUUUCUCACAGACUCAGUUUGGGCUUCUGAAUGCAAGCUGGGUGUUACUCAGCUCCGAAGUUGUUUCAUGGAGAGCAGCUCCCAGCUCCUGCUCCCUGCAUGCCCCUUGGACACACCUGAGCAGAUAGCAGCGCGCAAUGUGAGGGUUGGGACAUGCUGGCCAACCCCUUGGGCAGCUGUUUCCAAAAUAUCGAGUCUCCAGGGCUCCCCUGGAGGAAGAAGGGAUCCAGGACUGCAGCUGGAAGCACGAAGAGCAGACAUGGCAGAGGGCUGGUGCUGUGAGCGUGCCACCACCAGUGUGUCUGCCACAGCUGCCAUCCCAUCGCAGCAGAAUUUGCUACAUGCACUUUUUGUUAUUUGCUGUGAUGUGAAAUUACUGCAGAUUCCAAGUGUAAAAGCAUCGUGGUUAGCAGCCCAGUUACCUCAUCCUAGAGGGAGGAUUGCAUCAGGUGCAUGCAGAUCUCUUUACAUCCCUACCAGCUGGCUUACUGUGAAGGAAACUUUCUUGCAAGAAAGCUCUGAGAGAAGUUGUCCAGAAUGCUAAAAUUUAUUACAACUACUCCUUAAAACUUGGUCAAAUUUUAAUUUCACCUAGCCAGAUAGAAAUACAGUUUGAGUCUUUUUAAAACAUCCCACAGUUUAUAACUGCUCAGAAAUCUCAUUGCUGAGACGCUCUGCAACAGUUGUGCUGGGCAAGAACUCAAGCCCUAGAGUUAGGGUUGUGCAAACUGCUGGAAACAAGGGGAGAAGGCAACAGUGAACCGUAUGGACAGGCAGCGCUUGGCUGAAUGCUUCAGUCCAGGUGGACAAAUCUCUCACACAAAUCAACAUAAUAUUCAUGACUGCAUAUAAUUUACCUGCCCCAUAAACACCACAGAAGAGCCACUCUUUGCAGUAUUACCCCAGUUAUCAAUCCUUCGACCUGGAAUUUUAUGGCACUGACUGGUGGUUAUACACAUCUCAGCCUCAGGAAUGUGAAUGCCUUGUGACAAGUAGGAUCAGCCCUUGCGAUUAUGCCUUAACUUACCUUAUCAUAUAAUUACAUACUCUUCUGAUUUACAUUAAUGUAUUAUCUAAAAAUGUAUUUAACUAGCAUGUUUUUCUAAGAAAGGCAGGAAAGGUUUGGAGCGAUGGGGAAGGUGCUGUGCUGCCUCCUCUCCCUCCCAGCCACCAGAGGAGCUGCCUCCAUCCCCACGGGCAUCACCACACGCACAAAAUGAGUUCAGAUGCCCUGCUCACACCUGGGUCUGCCACAUCCUUCUGGGGCAGGUAACUAGGCAAGGAAAUCCUGCCCCAGUUUCACUUUAACCAAAGUUACAGUCGCUCCCAGUCAAAUGUACAGGAUCCAGAGAGAAGAAACAAUGUAGAAGCUUUGGAUUGAAAAGGAUGCUUCCUUUUGGGUUACAGCACAGAACCUACUUCUUUUCUUUGCCUCCCUAACAUCAUUUCAAUUUUAAGUUUCACGAGAAAGAGCAGAUAUUGAGCAUUGUAGGACUCGUGUUUUCUGUGCUAUUCCACAGUU
Oxyura jamaicensis (ruddy duck) is the source of this 2506-nucleotide long non-coding RNA. RefSeq lists it as uncharacterized. The record is from RefSeq and is a predicted model, not a curated record. The transcript is spliced from 4 exons. NCBI's taxonomy places the organism in Eukaryota, Metazoa, Chordata, Aves, Anseriformes, Anatidae.